CAUGGCUUCCUAGAGGCUGUUAAAGGAAGAGCCGCUUUCUUCCUGCCUCCCAAGCUGCCCAGCGGCGCCGGUUGCUGGGGAACGCCAGCGCCGUGGGAGGGGAUGGCGGGAGGGUACGGCUUAGGUGCUGGGGCCGGAGUUGAGUUGGUGAAGAAGAGCUGGGGGUCGUCAUGAAACAACGGAAAGCCCCGGGGCCUGGGGGCGACGGUAGCCGCAAGAAGAGAGGUUUAAGUGACAUUUCUCCAUCUACAAGCCUACCACCCCUGGUUGAAGGCCAGCUACGCUGCUUUCUGAAACUUACUGUUAAUAAAGUCAUAUGGAAGAUUACAAAGCCUCCUGCUUGUGUACUUGUUCGAGUGAGAUGGUGGGGAGAAACAUCAGAAGGAACACUCUUUUGUCCCAGGGAUACAUUGCAGACCGAACCAAAAGCUGUGAGAACAACUACACGUUAUGCUAUUCGCUGUGGUCCAAAGCAGUUUACCUCUUAUCUAACAGAUAUGGCUGUGCUGGUGCUGGAAGUAAUCACCAAACUUGAACAUCUUCCGGUUGGUAGAGUUCAGAUCAGUGGACUAGCCCAGCUUUCUCCAACCCAUCACAUCAAUGGAUUUUUUACCAUUGUUUCACCAACAUCUAAGAAACUUGGAGAACUCCAGGUCUCACUUGCCCUGGAGCCUUUGUCAGAAACUUUUGACAGCUACACUCCUCUUCCUACCACUGACAUGACAGAAAAUGUGCUUUUAUCUGAACAAGGAUUCAGAGAAUAUACUGAAGCAGGCAAUACUCAGUUUCUGGUUCCAUCAAGGCCUCAGAGGAUCCCUACCACCAAAAUUGAUGGAAAAGAGUUAGCAGCCAACAGCAGUAGGUCAACCACUCCAAGGGGAAAGGACCACUUGUACUUUGCAGAGAACUCUGAUACAAUAAAGGACUCUUUCUUUGGACUACGGCACCAUCUUAAUUCAGGACAGAGUUUAGAGUCUAUGACUCUGAAAGGCAAAGCCCCACAGAAGCAGAUGUCCCUUCUCAACAGUUCUGAAUUGCGGCCUCAAAUUAGGACAGUUGCCAAGAGUCACAGUGACUCAUGUGUUCUUUCUUCAAACAACCCUCCUACCAAGAACCUUCUUUUAGCUCUGUUAGAACAAGGCAAUAAACUGCGUAAUGCCAUGGUGAUUUCUGCAAUGAAAUCAAGCCCAGAUACUAGCAUGUUGUUGGAAGAAGUUCAUCCUUCUAUGAAUGAAGAUUUUCUUAGAGCAUCUACACAAAUCAAAGCCUUGUCUAGGAAUCAAUUUAAAGACCACAUUGAAGAUCACCUCCUCCCUCCAACUGAGAAUACAUUUUGGAAACAUGACACAAAAGCUGAUACCAGAGCCAUACAGCUGCUAUUGGGCAGUGCCGAAUUAUCCCAAGGUCGUUACUGGGACGGGCUAGGCUCUCCUCCAGAUUCCCCGUCUCCUGGGAGUGAUGUGUAUUGCAGCAGUGAGCCCAGUGACCCUCAGUAUGACCAGAGUCUCCUGGAGAACUUGUUUUACACAGCACCCAAAUCUGAUACCAGUGUCAGUGAUGUCUUCAGUGGAGAUGAUGAUGUUGUCCCUUCUAAAAAAAUGAGCCAGUCAAAAGCUCUUGCCAGAUCUUCUAAGGUUCUAGAGUCAAAUGAUCAUAAGUUGAAGAAGAAGGCGGUGGGCAAGAAAAAUAGAAACUUGAUUGAACAACAGAUGCUAUCAGAAACUCCAGAAGAUGCCCAAGUGAUGACACUAAGUGUGGAUAGACUGGCCCUUCUGGGUAGAACACAUUCAGUCAGAAUCAUCAUCGAAACAAUGGGAGUUCCUCCAGAUAGUCUCCAGGAGACCCCUGGCAAAAAAAGCUUUCCUGGGAGACUACCUAAGCUGACAACAAAAAAGCGCACCUUCUUUGUGGAAUAUCACUUUCCUAUGGGCUUUUCCAAAAAUGGAUUGACAAAGACAGCUUUGAUCACUGAGGUGGUUCGACUCGCAUCCAGUAAAAUUACAGAUGGAAUGGUGAAAUUCCAGCAGAGAUUUGUGUUUCCGGUACAGUUUGGUGGCCCAAUGAUAGAACACUGGUGGAAUUCGAAUCUUACUUUCCAAAUUUACACAAAGAAAACCCCACAGUUAAAGCCUGAAGUCAUUGGGUCUGCAUCACUACCUUUGAGAGCUGUCAUUCAAUCUGAGCUGCUUUCUUUCAGUGACCAGCUUGCAGUGCAACAGGAAAAUGGUCAGACUCCACUUGGCCCCCUCAAGGUAACUGUGGAGCUUGUUACAGAUAACAAGGAUUUCGCUGAUGUCAAUACAAAGUUAAGUAGCAACACCCAACAUAGCCCACUUUGUGCUCUUACAAGUCCAGAUAAGACACUGCCAGAACCUAGUCAACAUGUUACCUGUACCAAAAAUCCACAGAACCUCAAUCAAAUUCAUGAAGAAACUGUAAAGAAAACACAGAAUUUGGUGCUCCCCAUCCGAAAGUCACCAAGCCCUGUUGUACCAAGUCCUUCAACCUUCACGGCUGUGCCAGCCUCUCAUGAUUUGAUAAAUCAGAUAAAUGUGUCAACAAAAGAAAGUGCUUUGCUGUUGCAUGUGCUACUGAUGGUGCCAGAUGGGAAAGAUUUCAUUACUGGAGAAUCUGAGAAACAACCAUCAUGCAAUGUUUAUUUAAAUUGCAAGCUCUUCAGCACAGAAGAAGUCACCAGAUCUGUCAUUGCAUGGGGCACAACAAAACCAGUCUUUAACUUUUCUCAGGUGAUUCCUGUCUCUCUGUCUUCCAAAUGCCUGGAAAGGCUUAAGAACAAUGUGAUGGUAAUUGAAACUUGGAACAAGGUGCGGAGCCCAGGACAGGACAAGCUGCUCGGGCUGGUGAAACUCCCCCUCCAUCAGUUUUACAUGUCAUUCAAAGAUCCCAAGAUUUCUCGCCUGCUGCUUGAUGCUCAGUAUCCAGUUGUUGCUGUCGACAGCUACAUGCCUGUGAUUGAUGUGUUCUCAGGCCACCAAAAUGGGAGUCUUCGAGUCUUUUUAGCUAUGGGUUCUUCAGAUCAGAUAAUAGCACUGCAAAGAUUAAAGAAUGAAGAAGGAACACUUCCUCCCUUCAACCCCAGGCCAGCCCAUCUCCUGGACCAGCCAUCUGUAGCAUCUGUUGCUAUGGCAGGGGACCAAGGAAAUGGAUUGAUGGAGCACCACUUUGAACUCCUUAUAGACAAGAUUAAAGGGCUCGCCCCUCUUCAGGCAACAGUCUGGGGAGAAGCAGAUUGUUAUGUCCAGUACUACUUUCCAGUUCAAGACUCGCAACCCAGUGUGCUGAAAGGACCUGAGUUCCUUGAAAAUGGAUUCACUCUGAAGCCUUUCAGAUCUGCAACCACACUCUGCAUUCCAGACCCCAUCUUUAAUAGUGAGCACCGUCAUUCUCUCCUGUUGCCAGCUGAAAUUCCAGUGCAAAGGCUCCUACUCAGUGCCUUCUCUGCACAUGGGCUUGUACCUGGAGGUGGAGUCCAGUUUGAAAUCUGGUGCAGGUACUAUUAUCCUAAUGUGAGAGACCAGAUGGUCGCCAAAGGAACCUUGCCAUUAUCGAGGAUCUGUGCCAUUGUAACCAUGCAGCACCGUGAGGAUGUGGGAAUACAGACCUUUAAUCUCCCUUUAACCCCCAGGCUUGAGAAUAGGAAUGAACUAAGGAACCAAUCAUCAGGUUUACUGGAUGUGGGCCUAAGGUACAGGUGUACUCCAAGGACAGCAGAGGGAGUUCUUGCAGCCCGAGCUGUCUGCAUCUCAGUCCAGAUUAUCAGAGCCUGUGGUUUGCAAGCAGCAGCCAAGGCUUUGGCUGAGCAGGAACCUGCUCUGCAGUUUAGUGCCACAGUCGGGGUCAAUGCCUUUGUUACCACUCAUCUGUCCUUCCUGCCCAAGGGAGAACAGCGCCAAACCCACCCUGUGGCCUGUUCCUUCUGCCCUGAGUUCUCCCAUCACAGUGAAUUCUCAUGUAACUUGGUAACUCAGCACUGCAGUGGAGAAGCCUGUUUCCUGGCAGAGUUGUUGGAGUUUGCAGAAGUUACUUUUGCUAUUUAUCAUGAAGAUACCAAGUCAGCCAGUGAUAUAACCAGUAUCCGCUCAUUCAAAGAUUAUCUGCUUGGAGUAGUAAAGAUUCCAACAAAAGAUCUGCUGAUCAAGAGAUCUGGGAUCACAGGAUGGUAUCCUAUCAUUUUACCAGAAGAGGGGGCCCUGCCUCACGGCUUGGAGCUCAUGCAGAAGAUUGUGGGUGGUCUGGAGCUUUCCAUUUCCUUCACCCAUCCUGGAGACAGAGAGCGGGUGUUGGAAGCUGCUGAGCUAUUGGGCUGGAGCUUUGAGAAUAAUCUGAAGGAUUUUGUCAAGAUGGAUGAAGAGGAGCCAGCCACUGUUACCAUCUCCACCCCGAGGCUUUGGCUGCCUAUCCAUUGCGUGCUGCUUGCUGGCCAGAAGCACAUUCAUAAGAAUACAUAUUGCUACCUCCGCUACAAGCUGUACGAUCAUGAAGGCUUUUGGACCCCUCUCAAGAAACCUAAGGAAUCUGCAAACAAAAAGCAGGUCAUGGUUACUUUCAAGGCAUCCAAAAGAUCAGAAGUCUCUAGGAGCCCAUCACUGCUUUGGUACUUCAGAGAGGAGAGGUUAGAGAUCCAAGUUUGGCGGGCUUAUGGCAAUGACAGUGUGGAGAGGCCCCAUCAGACAGACAGCUGGAUUGGCUCAGCCUAUGUGGACCUGGCCAGACUUGGGGAGAGGUCAGCAAGGACACUAACUGUCAGUGGUGUGUAUCCUCUAUUUGGACGAAAUGCUUCCAACCUCUCAGGAGCUGCCUUGAGAGUUCAUGUGGUUCUCUCCUCUCUUUCUUCACACCCUGGGCCCACUAAUGAGCUGGACUCCAUGGACUGCAGCAGCGCCAGUGAGUCUGAGCAGCUCCCCAGAGGAAAUGAUGAGCUCCAGCUCUCUCCACCACAUGACCACCAGAAGUCUCCGGCCUCCACCCAGGUCCCCUGCAGCAGCACCACAGCUGAAGUCUGCCUGGCCCAGGAGGACCCUACUGCACUAGAUGGAACUUUUGCAGUCAGUAUCCUGGUAGAAAGAGCAAUGCAUUUGAGCUUGAAAGGGAGCCCCUUGACACAGAGGAAAGUAUCAAUACCCAGUUGUUGUGUAUCCUUCACAACAGCUGAUGAGCCAUCUCCUAUCUACACCCCAGUGGUUGAAAACACAGAUUCCCCCAUCUGGAAUUUUCAACAGCAAUCAAGGCUGUCUAAAGAGCUUCUUUUGGAUCCACGACAAACUCUGGUCUUCAAAGUUUGGCAUAAAGGAGGUGAGGAGAGGGUGAUUGGCUUUGCCUCAGUGGACCUCUCCCCACUUCUCUCUGGCUUCCAGUUUGUCUGUGGCUGGUACAACAUCACAGACUUCAGUGGAGAGUGCCAAGGGCAGAUAAAAGUUGCCAUCUCCCCUUUGGAGAGUUUGAUGCACUUCAGAGAAGAAAGGCAAGCAAGACGUGGGAUGGAGACCUCAGGAUCACUGAUCCCAAUAUAUAGUACCUUUUCCUUCCCUGCCUCUGAUAUGUAUGGUGCAUUCCCUGGCUGCAUUGCAGGACAGACUCCAGAACAACUUGUUCACACCUCAUCAAAGGAGGUUGAUUUCUCCUCUCCUGGGAGAAGCAGUACCACAAGAAGCAAGGCAUCACGCCAUGAAGAGCAUGUGCAGAACAUCCGCCGAUUCCAUGAAUCCCUGCAGCAGGGAGAGGCAAUCUUGCCAAGUGAUGACAAACUGACCACAUCACCCUUUUCCUCCCAUACUUCCAUUCUGACUUCCCUCAGGAGGAAUCUGAGUGAGCUAGAUCAGAUCCAGCAGUACUUCAGCCAGAAGCUCACCAAGCCUUUACUUCCCCUCAGUCCUCAGACCCAUACUGCCAUCUCGCAGUGCCAAGAGAGUCAGGGGGACCAUCUUCGGCCAGGAGCCAGCAGCCUAGACCCCGAAAGCCAUUGCAUCCUGGAGAAAUCCAAUAACCUGGUGUUGCAAGUCAGCUCGUUAAUCACGGAUCUGCAGACUAUCACCCGGAACUCCCAAGGAUCUUUGCGUUCUCACCAAGCGAGGAGUAGAAGCAGAGAAGUCACCACCCUCCCAGAUGCUCAGGACAUAGCCACGCAAGAACGAAGCACAACUCCAGACCUGCCAUUGGCAAGAGCUCCAGAUGAGGGCAGAAACUCCCCACCUCCCUCUACUCUUGAAGAGACUUCAGGUGGAAGAGGAAUGCUUCACGAGGCCCUGGGGCACACGGUACCCACCACAAGAAUGCAGAGCAGUGAGGACACCAGGGCAGGCCUGGCCUACAGUGAUGAGGACUAUGAAGAAGACAUCAUUGAGCCCAGGGCCCUCAAUGAGGUCACCACCGUGACAGACAAAACUAGCCCUUGGUCCAGUUUCAUGUCAGAUGCAAGUGAGAUCAUCAGCCCUCAGCCUGAUGAGGGGCAGAGGGAAGGCCCCUCUUGUCCUUCAGAGCCUUUCCCCAGAGAGGAGCUCAAGGUCAGAAGUAGCUUUCUGUCCAGCCCGGAAAGGACUGUUAACCCCCACUUGCAUAGGCAGGGCUCUCCUAGCCAAAGUAUUGUUCCUUGUGAGGGCAUGGCCUGUAAGGCCAGGAUUGGAGAGCCUGCCUCAGCAGGCCCUCAGCUCAGCUCCCAUGUGACACUCUCAGGAGCCCAACAGAGCAAAACCUGUGUUGGGUGGCACUCACCAAAGGCAGGCCAGGACCAGGAGCCCAAGCCAGAGGCCCAGGCUGAGAAGGAAGUGGCCUCUGAUGAGCUAAGUGACUCUGCUGAUAGCUCUGAGAAGCUCCCUCUACACCCAGCCUCCCAGAGCAGAAGGGAAAACCAUAAGCAGCCACCCAUCAACUGCCCUGACAUCAGGCAGAAGCAGCAGACAUCUGGGUCAGAGGUGUCCACGAAGCAGAGCAUCCUUCUCCCAGAGCCCAUUGUGGUGCCCAACUUCUUUUUACCUCCCCAGCAGUUGGAGGCCUCCCUGCGGAUGCUCUCUCUCUCUACAGCUUUGCCACCACCAGCCACAGCAGAUCAGGGCAAGAGCGAGACCACCGGGGGAGCCCUGUCCCAAAGGCCUUGUCGUCCCAGACCUAACUCGCUGCCUCCCAGCCUGUCUGAGGAAGAAACUCGCAGGAUUGCACGAAUAUUUUCUUCCCGAUACUCCCAGAAAGACUAAUGCAGCCCAAGAUACUGAGGGAAGGACCACCCACCCACUCACCCUCAGCCUUGUCUGGCCUCCCUCAGGGCUGUGAAAGCCCUGAAACCACCACCAGCCUUGUCCCUGGACACCAGUCAGCCCAGACUAGAGGAGCGUCACAGACCAGCCCAGUGUCCACCUGCCAGGACUUCAGCUUCCUCCUCGGAUGCACUCCCUCCACAGAGCCCUGAAAAUGGGUGCUUCUCAUCACCCAGAGGUUGGCUGAUCGCAGCCCAUGGCAGCCAGCUUUGGAACUUCUAGCACAGACUGGAUUCUGGGGACACGGAGCCAAAGCAGACAGACCUGGCCCUGCCCUCGAAGAGCUCCCAGGCCCACGUGAGCUAAGCUGCCCUCCCUCUGGGUCUCUCCAGGGCCCACCGCCCCUUUGUUUGGGUUCCGACUAUUUACCCCUCCCCACCUCCCGGCUGCAAUUCACCCACCACCUCCAGACUGCCAUUUUCAGCUGGAGCCAAGAACCUACUUCCAGAACGCUCCCCACCUCAGCAGCCCUAGCAGCCCCUUCCCUUCACAGGACUAACCCAACUGCCUGUUCUGCUGACACUGGGGCAGGGACUGCUCCAAGGAGGACCUUUGCACUUGAGUGUCUGGACUUGUGACCAUGGCCAUGGCUCUGUGCCCAAGUCUAGCAGUGGCCUCUGCUCCCCUGCCCCACCCAGUCACCUCCCUUCCCUUCCCACCUCUCUUCUUCUCUCCUCCCCUGCCCCCUGCCCCUCCCUCCUCUCUACUCAGUCACCUGGAUCCCAGGUUCAGAUUCGCCCACCCCUUACCCUCCGUGUCUACCAAGGGGGCCUCAGCGGCUGCUGCGAGGAACCCUUCCCGCCCCACCCCUCACACCCUCCCCAGAGCCCUUUGGCCUCAGGCGUGUCCAUGCUGAAGCCCCCAAGUGUCAUAUCAUAGAGAACAGUGUCAUAUCAUGGAGAACAGAUGGGUCCAAAGUACAUUACAGUUUGCAGGCUGGAAGUCAGGCCCUGCCAAGUAUUGCGACCUGGGCGAGUCACUGUCCCUCCCUAAGACUCUGUUUUCCCCUCUGCAACCUAAACAUUAAAAUGCAUGGAUCCUCAGCCAUAGAAAGGAGUGAAGUGCUGACACAUGCUCCAACAUGGAUGAACUUGGAAAACACUGCUAAGUCAGAGGCCAGUCACAAAAGGUCACAUAUUGUGUGGUUCUAUUUAUACAAAAUGUUCAGAAUCAGCAAAUCUAUAGAGACAAAGUAGAUUAGUGAUUGCCUGGGGUUGUGGGGAGGGGAGAAAGGAAGUGACACUGUUGAUGUGUACGGGGAUAUUGGGGAGGGUAAUGAAAGUGUUCUAAAACUGAUGGUUGCAUAACUGUGAAUACGCUAAAAACCGUUGAAUCAUACCAGUUAUAUAGGUAAAUUGUAUGGUAUGGGAAUUAUAUCUCAAUAAAGCUAUUUAAAAAAAAAAAA
This is an RNA transcript of Aethalodelphis obliquidens (Pacific white-sided dolphin), 8673 nucleotides long. It is a transcript of the gene named C2 domain containing 3 centriole elongation regulator, with no coding region annotated. The transcript is spliced from 34 exons. Lineage: Eukaryota; Metazoa; Chordata; Mammalia; Artiodactyla; Delphinidae. The record is from RefSeq and is a predicted model, not a curated record.